UGUGCUUACCGGGUCUUUCUGUAACCUAAACGUUAGAAUAUCCUAAUCUUGCUCUACAUUUUAAAGCUGAAAGAUAAACCUGUUGUUUAAUGAAAUCCACAACACUACGGGAAUAGUAACCAUUGUGUUCUUUCAUUUCAAAGGGCGGCUGAAAUCUAACAUCUGGUGUAACUGUACAAACCUGACCUUAGGUCACGGAGAGCUCCCGCAAUGCAAGCAGAGAGGGCCAGGCCUGCUCCAGCCAUUACCCCAGGUCUGCGUGAGGAGGUGGUGCAGAAGAGCGUCGUUCCUGAGCCGUAAUUACCCCUGGAUAAGGCACCAUGUGCUGCAGGCAGCCACGUGCCAAUUCCCCAGUGGACACUUGGGAAUUCUUCCUCCGCCAACCACUGGUGUAUGAGGAAAUCAGCAACAUUGGCUCAGCCCAUCCGAGUAUGAGUCAUUUCCAUCAAAAGAGGAGGAUGCCUUGAUCUGUGUGCAAGCAGCAGCUGUUGGAGCAAACACAAACAUGCAUGCCAAGGAUUGUAAGGAUGGAGUUUAUCUACUAUGUAAACAACCACCUGCUGCAAAUGAAAAAUUACUCCCUCACCACCUGAAUAAGAUAAGCAUAUGAUGGGGGGAAACGAAGAGACAGAUUUAUUAUUAAUUUGCUGGAACUUUAAAACCAAACAUCUCUUUUGCGGUAGAACAGUAGGAUGCACCAGGAAGC
This 706-nucleotide long non-coding RNA is filed under the name Phasianus colchicus (ring-necked pheasant). RNAcentral describes it as "lncRNA (ENSPCLG00000006409.1)". The record is from RNAcentral. Lineage: Eukaryota; Metazoa; Chordata; Aves; Galliformes; Phasianidae.